Molecule: long non-coding RNA, 553 nt
Organism: Labrus mixtus (cuckoo wrasse)
Lineage: Eukaryota; Metazoa; Chordata; Actinopteri; Labriformes; Labridae
Exons: 2
Source: RefSeq, a predicted model, not a curated record
GAUGAUGGAAAAGCAAAUCCAACACAACCCUCCAGCAUCUGGCCUUUCAAACACAGGGCAACAUCAUGGAGAGAAAAAUAAAUUAAAUAUUGACCAGGAUCUCUGUGUUUUAUCUGAGGAUGACUAUGGUAGCCUUCUCACUGUUCACUGUCACAAAGCUCCAGACUCUGUCCACCUUCUCACUACGUUGAUCAGCUCCUCUGGGUGAUGGCAGAGAGGACUCUUCAUCUGGGAGAGCUGCUGGUGUAAGGUCAUUUCUACCACAGUGGAUGAGCAGGGCGUCUGGCACAGGUGAAAGAAGGAGGAGGUUCCUUCAGACUAUGUGACCCCAGCCUGACCUCUGUAACAGGUGUGCAGACAAAGGUUGAAAUUAGUCAUUUUUAGGUUCUGUUGAUUGUAAAAAGGAAAAGAAAACAUCACCUUUCUAUUGAACAUUUAGCUGGUGUAUAACUCAGUGUGAUUUUUAUUUUAGAAGACUGUAUUGUUAACAAUAGCUUGUUUUUACAAUCCUCUUAUGAAACUUAAAUAAAGAUCACAGGAUAUAAACUUUUAA